RNAcentral lists this ribosomal RNA (284 nucleotides) under Ixodes ricinus (castor bean tick). RNAcentral describes it as "partial small subunit ribosomal RNA". Lineage: Eukaryota; Metazoa; Arthropoda; Arachnida; Ixodida; Ixodidae. The record is from RNAcentral.
AAAAUAAAAUUUGAUUUUAAAAAAAUUUAAUUUUUAAACUAGGAUUAGAUACCCUAUUAUUUUAAGCUUAAUGUUGGUAGUAAGUAAAAUUUAUGAAAUCAUAAAAUUUUGGCGGUAUUUUAAGCUUGUUAGAGGAAUUUGCUCUAUAAUGGAUACAACGCCUACAUCUUACUUAAUUUUGUAAUUAAAGUCAGUUUGUAUACCACUAUAUUUAAUUAUAUUGAAUAAUUAUAUUUAAGAUUUUUAUAUAAAUAUAUAUUAAGUCAAGGUGCAACAAAUAAUUA